GAGGAAAAUCCGUCACUUAAAAUCGGAGGGUUCAAGUCCCUCUAUCCCC
Molecule: transfer RNA, 49 nt
Filed under: Cephalaralia cephalobotrys
Lineage: Eukaryota; Viridiplantae; Streptophyta; Magnoliopsida; Apiales; Araliaceae
Description: partial tRNA-Leu
Source: RNAcentral